AGCGAACGCUGGCGGCAGGCUUAACACGUGCAAGUCGAACGGGCGUAGCAAUACGUCAGUGGCAGACGGGUGAGUAACACGUGGGAACAUCCCCCUUGGUUCUGAAUAACUCAGGGAAACUUGAGCUAAUACCGGAUAAGUCCGAGAGGAGAAAGAUUCAUCGCCGAGGGAUCGGCCCGCGUCUGAUUAGCUAGUUGGUGAGGUAAUGGCUCACCAAGGCGACGAUCAGUAGCUGGUCUGAGAGGAUGAUCAGCCACACUGGGACUGAGACACGGCCCAGACUCCUACGGGAGGCAGCAGUGGGGAAUAUUGGACAAUGGGCGAAAGCCUGAUCCAGCCAUGCCGCGUGGGUGAUGAAGGCCUUAGGGUUGUAAAGCUCUUUUGUCCGGGAAGAUAAUGACUGUACCGGAAGAAUAAGCCCCGGCUAACUUCGUGCCAGCCGCCGCCGUAA
RNAcentral lists this ribosomal RNA (451 nucleotides) under uncultured bacterium. Its description in RNAcentral is "partial 16S ribosomal RNA". It matches the Rfam family "Bacterial small subunit ribosomal RNA", at positions 29 to 523 of the family's 1533-position model. The record is from RNAcentral.